This 163-nucleotide ribosomal RNA is filed under the name Pyrus pyrifolia. Its description in RNAcentral is "5.8S ribosomal RNA". It matches the Rfam family "5.8S ribosomal RNA". Rfam says of the family: 5.8S ribosomal RNA (5.8S rRNA) is a component of the large subunit of the eukaryotic ribosome. It is transcribed by RNA polymerase I as part of the 45S precursor that also contains 18S and 28S rRNA. Functionally, it is thought that 5.8S rRNA may be involved in ribosome translocation. The record is from RNAcentral. RNAcentral also lists the same sequence under 1 other name. Lineage: Eukaryota; Viridiplantae; Streptophyta; Magnoliopsida; Rosales; Rosaceae.
AAAACGACUCUCGGCAACGGAUAUCUCGGCUCUCGCAUCGAUGAAGAACGUAGCGAAAUGCGAUACUUGGUGUGAAUUGCAGAAUCCCGUGAACCAUCGAGUCUUUGAACGCAAGUUGCGCCCGAAGCCUUUAGGCCGAGGGCACGCCUGCCUGGGCGUCGCA